RNAcentral lists this ribosomal RNA (529 nucleotides) under uncultured bacterium. Its description in RNAcentral is "bacterial SSU rRNA". It matches the Rfam family "Bacterial small subunit ribosomal RNA", at positions 355 to 896 of the family's 1533-position model. The record is from RNAcentral.
UGGGGAAUUUUCCGCAAUGGGCGAAAGCCUGACGGAGCAAUACCGCGUGAGGGAAGACUGCCUAUGGGUUGUAAACCUCUUUUUUCAGGGAGGAAUAAAAUGACGUGUACCUGAAGAAUAAGCAUCGGCUAACUCCGUGCCAGCAGCCGCGGUAAGACGGAGGAUGCAAGUGUUAUCCGGAAUCACUGGGCGUAAAGCGUCUGUAGGUGGUUUAAUAAGUCAACUGUUAAAUCUUGAGGCUCAACUUCAAAAUCGCAGUCGAAACUAUUAGACUAGAGUAUAGUAGGGGUAAAGGGAAUUUCCAGUGGAGCGGUGAAAUGUGUAGAUAUUGGAAAGAACACCGAUGGCGAAAGCACUUUACUGGGCUAUUACUAACACUCAGAGACGAAAGCUAGGGUAGCAAAUGGGAUUAGAUACCCCAGUAGUCCUAGCCGUAAACUAUGGAUACUAGAUGUUGAACAGAUCGACCUGUGCAGUAUCAAAGCUAACGCGUUAAGUAUCCCGCCUGGGAAGUAUGCUCGCAAGAGUG